RNAcentral lists this ribosomal RNA (279 nucleotides) under uncultured bacterium. Its description in RNAcentral is "partial 16S ribosomal RNA". It matches the Rfam family "Bacterial small subunit ribosomal RNA", at positions 506 to 784 of the family's 1533-position model. The record is from RNAcentral.
UGCCAGCCGCCGCGGUAAUACGGAGGGGGUUAGCGUUGUUCGGAAUUACUGGGCGUAAAGCGCGCGUAGGCGGAUUGGAAAGUUAGAGGUGAAAUCCCAGGGCUCAACCCUGGAACUGCCUUUAAAACUCCCAGUCUUGAGUUCGAGAGAGGUGAGUGGAAUUCCAGGUGUAGCGGUGGAAUGCGUAGAUAUCUGGAAGAACACCUGUGGCGAAGGCGGCUAGCUGGGCCGAGUCUGACACUCAUCCGCGAAAGCGUGGGGAGCAAACAGGAUUAGAUA